GUCUGGGUCUCCUACAUCAUGACUCCACAGCUCUAGGUCUGUGUCUGGGUCUCCUACAUCAUGACUCCACAGCUCUAGGACUGUAUCUGGGUCUCCUACAUCAUGACUCCACAGCUCUAGGCCUGUAUCUGGGUCUCCUACAUCAUGACUCCACAGCUCUAGGCCUGUAUCUGGGUCUCCUACAUCAUGACUCCACAGCUCUAGGCCUGUAUCUGGGUCUCCUACAUCAUGACUCCACAGCUCUAGGUCUGUGUCUGUUUCUCCUACAUCAUGACUCCACAGCUCUAGGUCUGUGUCUGGGUCUCCUACAUCAUGACUCCACAGCUCUAGGACUGUAUCUGGGUCUCCUACAUCAUGACUCCACAGCUCUAGGUCUGUGUCUGGGUCUCCUACAUCGUGACUCCACAGCUCUAGGACUGUAUCUGGGUCUCCUACAUCAUGACUCCACAGCUCUAGGUCUGUGUCUGGGUCUCCUACAUCAUGACUCCACAGCUCUAGGUCUGUGUCUGGGUCUCCUACAUCAUGACUCCACAGCUCUAGGUCUGUGUCUGGGUCUCCUACAUCAUGACUCCACAGCUCUAGGACUGUGUCUGGGUUUCCUAAAUCAUCCUCUUCCCUCCAUGUCCUCCUGGCUGCUGCUGUUCUAAGUGCUCCACUGACCUGCUGUUGUCGUCUGUCCUCCUUGGCUCAUCUGAGAUGUUUAGAUUACAUCAUAUUUGAGGACACAUAAUUUAAGGGCCUAUGUAUUUUUCAUGUUUUAUUCACCUACAAUCUUUUCCCCUCCCUUUCUGGCUGCCCUGCCCCCUUCCCUACUCAGAU
This 819-nucleotide long non-coding RNA is filed under the name Salmo salar (Atlantic salmon). RNAcentral describes it as "lncRNA (ENSSSAG00000104541.1)". The record is from RNAcentral. Lineage: Eukaryota; Metazoa; Chordata; Actinopteri; Salmoniformes; Salmonidae.